AACGAACGCUGGCGGCAUGCCUAACACAUGCAAGUCGAACGAGACCUUCGGGUCUAGUUGCGCACGGGUGCGUAACGCGUGGGAACCUGCCCUUAGGUUCGGAAUAACUCCCCGAAAGGGGUGCUAAUACCGGAUAAUGUCUUCGGACCAAAGAUUUAUCGCCUUUGGAUGGGCCCGCAUUGGAUUAGCUAGUUGGUAGGGUAAAAGCCUACCAAGGCGACGAUCCAUAGCUGGUCUGAGAGGAUGAUCAGCCACACUGGGACUGAGACACGGCCCAGACUCCUACGGGAGGCAGCAGUGGGGAAUAUUGGACAAUGGGCGAAAGCCUGAUCCAGCAAUGCCGCGUGAGUGAUGAAGGCCUUAGGGUUGUAAAGCUCUUUUACCCGGGAUGAUAAUGACAGUACCGGGAGAAUAAGCGCCGGCUAACUCCGUG
Molecule: ribosomal RNA, 433 nt
Filed under: uncultured bacterium
Lineage: Bacteria
Description: partial 16S ribosomal RNA
Rfam family: Bacterial small subunit ribosomal RNA
Source: RNAcentral